GACGAACGCUGGCGGCGUGCCUAAUACAUGCAAGUUGAGCGAUGAAGCUUGGUGCUUGCCCCAAUUUGAAGAGCAGCGAACGGGUGAGUAACGCGUGGGGAAUCUGCCUUUGAGCGGGGGACAACAUUUGGAAACGAAUGCUAAUACCGCAUAACAACUUUAAACAUAAGUUUUAAGUUUGAAAGAUGCAAUUGCAUCACUCAAAGAUGAUCCCGCGUUGUAUUAGCUAGUUGGUGAGGUAAAGGCUCACCAAGGCGAUGAUACAUAGCCGACCUGAGAGGGUGAUCGGCCGCAUUGGGACUGAGACACGGCCCAAACUCCUACGGGAGGCAGCAGUAGGGAAUCUUCGGCAAUGGACGAAAGUCUGACCGAGCAACGCCGCGUGAGUGAAGAAGGUUUUCGGAUCGUAAAACUCUGUUGGUAGAGAAGAACGUUGGUGAGAGUGGAAAGCUCAUCAAGUGACGGUAACUACCCAGAAAGGGACGGCUAACUACGUG
This 497-nucleotide ribosomal RNA is filed under the name uncultured bacterium. Its description in RNAcentral is "partial 16S ribosomal RNA". It matches the Rfam family "Bacterial small subunit ribosomal RNA", at positions 28 to 507 of the family's 1533-position model. The record is from RNAcentral.